This 511-nucleotide ribosomal RNA is filed under the name uncultured bacterium. Its description in RNAcentral is "bacterial SSU rRNA". It matches the Rfam family "Bacterial small subunit ribosomal RNA", at positions 30 to 527 of the family's 1533-position model. The record is from RNAcentral.
AUUGAACGUUGGCGGCAGGCCUAAUACAUGCAAGUCGAACGGCAGCACAGAGAGCUUGCUCUUGGGUGGCGAGUGGCGGACGGGUGAGUAACGCGUAGGAAUCUACCCAGUAGCGGGGGAUAGCCCGGGGAAACUCGGAUUAAUACCGCAUACGCCCCACGGGGAAAGGCCGGGAUCUUCGGACCGGUCACUAUUGGAGGAGCCUGCGUUGGAUUAGCUUGUUGGUGGGGUAAAGGCCUACCAAGGCUACGAUCCAUAGCUGGUCUGAGAGGACGAUCAGCCACACUGGAACUGAGACACGGUCCAGACUCCUACGGGAGGCAGCAGUAGGGAAUAUUGUGCAAUGGGCGAAAGCCUGACACAGCCAUGCCGCGUGUGUGAAGAAGGCCCUAGGGUUGUAAAGCACUUUCAGUAGGGAGGAAUUAGUAGGGUUAAGUAACCUUAAUGAAUAGACGUUACCUUACAGAAGAAGUAACCGGCUAACUCCGUGCCAGCAGCCGCGGUAAUGUCA